GACGAACGCUGGCGGCGUGCUUAACACAUGCAAGUCGAACGGAAAGUCCCUGCUUUUGUUGGGUGCUCGAGUGGCGAACGGGUGAGUAACACUUGAGUAACCUGCCCUUGACUUUGGGAUAACUUCAGGAAACUUGGGCUAAUACCGGCUAGGAGCUCCUGCUGCAUGGUGGGGGUUGGAAAGUUUCGGCGGUUGGGGAUGGACUCGCGGCUUAUCAGCUUGUUGGUGGGGUAGUGGCUUACCAAGGCUUUGACGGGUAGCCGGCCUGAGAGGGUGACCGGCCACAUUGGGACUGAGAUACGGCCCAGACUCCUACGGGAGGCAGCAGUGGGGAAUAUUGCACAAUGGGCGGAAGCCUGAUGCAGCAACGCCGCGUGCGGGAUGACGGCCUUCGGGUUGUAAACCGCUUUCGCCUGUGACGAAGCGUGAGUGACGGUAAUGGGUAAAGAAGCACCGGCUAACUACGUG
This 468-nucleotide ribosomal RNA is filed under the name uncultured bacterium. RNAcentral's name for it is "partial 16S ribosomal RNA". It matches the Rfam family "Bacterial small subunit ribosomal RNA", at positions 28 to 507 of the family's 1533-position model. The record is from RNAcentral.